RNAcentral lists this ribosomal RNA (497 nucleotides) under uncultured bacterium. Its description in RNAcentral is "partial 16S ribosomal RNA". It matches the Rfam family "Bacterial small subunit ribosomal RNA", at positions 28 to 507 of the family's 1533-position model. The record is from RNAcentral.
GAUGAACGCUGGCGGCGUGCCUAAUACAUGCAAGUCGAGCGAACAGACGAGGAGCUUGCUCCUCUGACGUUAGCGGCGGACGGGUGAGUAACACGUGGAUAACCUACCUAUAAGACUGGGAUAACUUCGGGAAACCGGAGCUAAUACCGGAUAAUAUAUUGAACCGCAUGGUUCAAUAGUGAAAGACGGUUUUGCUGUCACUUAUAGAUGGAUCCGCGCCGCAUUAGCUAGUUGGUAAGGUAACGGCUUACCAAGGCAACGAUGCGUAGCCGACCUGAGAGGGUGAUCGGCCGCACUGGAACUGAGACACGGUCCAGACUCCUACGGGAGGCAGCAGUAGGGAAUCUUUCGCAAUGGGCGAAAGCUUGACGGAGCAACGCCGCGUGAGUGAUGAAGGUCUUCGGAUCGUAAAACUCUGUUAUUAGGGAAGAACAAAUGUGUAAGUAACUAUGCACGUCUUGACGGUACCUAAUCAGAAAGCCACGGCUAACUACGUG